AAACCAUAAAGAAUGCAAAGACGAACAGACAAACUACGAUUGUAUCUAUUUUUUUUACAUCGACGAAACCAUUAACGUACAGAAUAUGUAUUUGAAGUGUUUUUUCUUUGAGUAGAAAGCAUGUAGGACUGUUAAAUUUAUGCUCAAUUAUUUUAAGGAAGAGGAAGCAAUAAAUAAAAUUGAUUUUCAAAUGAUUGGUUUGUUGAGUGGGGUGUUCAAUAAAAGUCGAUAACUAUAGUUGCCAGCAUAAGGAUAUUACUUUGGACGUAUGUUUUUCAAGGAAUAUAGAAACA
Molecule: non-coding RNA, 293 nt
Organism: Schizosaccharomyces pombe (fission yeast)
Lineage: Eukaryota; Fungi; Ascomycota; Schizosaccharomycetes; Schizosaccharomycetales; Schizosaccharomycetaceae
Source: the annotation of a GenBank genome assembly